This 792-nucleotide long non-coding RNA is filed under the name Bos indicus x Bos taurus (hybrid cattle). RNAcentral's name for it is "lncRNA (ENSBIXG00000023938.1)". The record is from RNAcentral. Lineage: Eukaryota; Metazoa; Chordata; Mammalia; Artiodactyla; Bovidae.
AGAAACUGAUGUCACUUAUUUCCAUCAAAGAGAUCCAGAAGCAGUACUACAGCAAUUGAGAGGAAGAGGGGAAUGGUUUUUUUUUUUUUUUUCCUGUUUGGGGAAGGGAAGCUUCAUGAAAAACUUCCUGAAAUUGCUGCUGGAUCACAAAGUCAAUUUAAAAAUUUACCAGAGAAUACACAUUGAGCUUCCCAGCAUCAGGUUUCCCAGGUGGUUCAGGGAUCAAAGAACCCUCCUGCCAAUGCAGGAGAGUCAGGAGAUGGGGCUUCAACCCCUGAGUUGGGAAGAUCACCUGGAGUGGAAAAUUCCAUGGACGGAAGAGCCUGGUGGGCUGCAGUCCAUGGGGUCACAAAGAGUCAGACACAGCUGAGCACGGACAUGCAUAUUGAGCUAUUACCAUGAGGUUGGUCCAACUAUCGUUUGAGGUCCUGCUGUUGAGAUACUUCACAGCCAGCUGGAAAAAGUCACUAUCAGACUCUUUGGUGGAGAAUUGUGGUUUAGUUGCUAAGUCGUGUCCUACUCUUGAGACCCCAUGGACUGUGGCCUGCCAGGCUCCUCUGUCCGUGGGAUUCUCCUGGCAAGCAUAUUGGAGUGGGUUGCCAUUUCUUUCUCCAGGGGCUCUUCCUGAUCCAGAAAUUGAACCCUGGUUUCCUGCAUUGCGGGCAGAUUCUUUACCAACUGAGUUACGAGGGAAGACCUUGGUGGAGAAUACCGUACAGGUAUAUUUUUGAAAAAUUAAAAUGAAUUAAAAUAUAGAGUAGCUUGAAAAAUUCAGAGCUGAUCUAGAAUUAU